Schizosaccharomyces pombe (fission yeast) is the source of this 1003-nucleotide non-coding RNA. The record is from the annotation of a GenBank genome assembly. NCBI's taxonomy places the organism in Eukaryota, Fungi, Ascomycota, Schizosaccharomycetes, Schizosaccharomycetales, Schizosaccharomycetaceae.
AUGAACUCUUCGAUAGAAGUAAGUGCACGUUAAAAAAUCCAUUGCACCCUGUAUGCAAUCUAUAGUGCCCGUAGCAAUCUCGGCAUUUAAAUGGUUAUCCAAUACUUUAUGUAAAUAAGACUCUACUGGAAAUCCACUAUGUAGAAAGUGCUUAUAAAACGACUUCUUAAUAUCCUGUACAAAUAUACGUGCCACACCAGAAUUGUCAAAUUGUGGUCGUCCUGCACGCCCUAACAUUUGAAGCACAUCCGUCAAAUCCAUGUCUUUAUAGCCUCCAAUUUUAGCAUCGUAAUACUCUGUUCCUUUCACAAUUACCAAAUGUGCCGGCGUAUUUACACCCCAUGCAAGAGUGCUGGUGGCGAUGAGAAUCUGAACUUUAUUAUUUACAAAAAGCUCUUCGGAAAUUUUUCUAUCAUUUUCAGUCAAACCAGCAUGGUGAAGUGCUAUACCAAAUGGUAAAGCCAACUUGAGGCUUUUAUCUUCAACUUCUGAAACAAUCAUUUCUAAUUCUUCUUCAUCCAUGUACAAAAAUCUCCUAGGAUUGUCUUCUAAACCACAAAAAGCUAUCAAAUCUUUUGCAGUUAAUCUAGUUUGACGGCGCGACGAAACAAAAAUUAAAACAGGUUGGGUAGGAGAGUGCGUUUUGAUGGCUUGAAAAGCAGGCUUAUUCAUCGACAUCAUCCUUGGGCAAUAGGCUCUACCAGGGAAUCCAUCGAUAUAUAUUUCUAAAGGAACUGGGCGCACGGAAUGCCUAAAAUUAAAUAGACCAUCUCUUAUGUUAAGCCAAUUUGCAAGAUCGUUAGCGUUAGCAACAGCAGUAGAUAAACCAAGAACUCUAACUUUCUUAUUAGUUUGAGAAGCAACAUAAUUCAUUCGGGAGACAAUCAUUUCAAGGACAGGACCUCGAUCGCUACCUAAUAAAUGGAUUUCGUCAAGGAUAAUUAAUGAGACAUCCUGAACAUACUUCCUAGAUUUCCAACUUCUAGUAAUACCAUCCCAUUUU